Molecule: transfer RNA, 73 nt
Filed under: Solirubrobacteraceae bacterium
Lineage: Bacteria; Bacillati; Actinomycetota; Thermoleophilia; Solirubrobacterales; Solirubrobacteraceae
Also listed under: 2 other names
Description: tRNA-Thr
Rfam family: tRNA
About the family: Transfer RNA (tRNA) molecules are approximately 80 nucleotides in length. Their secondary structure includes four short double-helical elements and three loops (D, anti-codon, and T loops). Further hydrogen bonds mediate the characteristic L-shaped molecular structure. tRNAs have two regions of fundamental functional importance: the anti-codon, which is responsible for specific mRNA codon recognition, and the 3' end, to which the tRNAs corresponding amino acid is attached (by aminoacyl-tRNA synthetases). tRNAs cope with the degeneracy of the genetic code in two manners: having more than one tRNA (with a specific anti-codon) for a particular amino acid; and 'wobble' base-pairing, i.e. permitting non-standard base-pairing at the 3rd anti-codon position.
Source: RNAcentral
GCCCGCCUAGCUCAACUGGUAGAGCACUUCACUUGUAAUGAAGAGGUUUAGGGUUCGAGUCCCUAGGCGGGCU